UACGAAGGGUGCUAGCGUUGCUCGGAAUCACUGGGCGUAAAGGGUGCGUAGGCGGGUCUUUAAGUCAGGGGUGAAAUCCUGGAGCUCAACUCCAGAACUGCCUUUGAUACUGAGGAUCUUGAGUUCGGGAGAGGUGAGUGGAACUGCGAGUGUAGAGGUGAAAUUCGUAGAUAUUCGCAAGAACACCAGUGGCGAAGGCGGCUCACUGGCCCGAUACUGACGCUGAGGCACGAAAGCGUGGGGAGCAAACAGG
RNAcentral lists this ribosomal RNA (253 nucleotides) under uncultured bacterium. Its description in RNAcentral is "partial 16S ribosomal RNA". It matches the Rfam family "Bacterial small subunit ribosomal RNA", at positions 524 to 776 of the family's 1533-position model. The record is from RNAcentral.